CUGGCUCAGGACGAACGCUGGCGGCGUGCCUAAUACAUGCAAGUCGAGCGAACAGAGAAGGAGCUUGCUCCUUCGAUGUUAGCGGCGGACGGGUGAGUAACACGUGGGCAACCUACCUUAUAGUUUGGGAUAACUCCGGGAAACCGGGGCUA
Molecule: ribosomal RNA, 152 nt
Filed under: Lysinibacillus fusiformis
Lineage: Bacteria; Bacillati; Bacillota; Bacilli; Caryophanales; Bacillaceae
Description: 16S rRNA. Bacterial SSU
Rfam family: Bacterial small subunit ribosomal RNA
Source: RNAcentral